This 245-nucleotide ribosomal RNA is filed under the name uncultured Acetobacteraceae bacterium. RNAcentral's name for it is "partial 16S ribosomal RNA". It matches the Rfam family "Bacterial small subunit ribosomal RNA", at positions 524 to 768 of the family's 1533-position model. The record is from RNAcentral. Lineage: Bacteria; Pseudomonadati; Pseudomonadota; Alphaproteobacteria; Acetobacterales; Acetobacteraceae.
UACGAAGGGGGCUAGCGUUGCUCGGAAUGACUGGGCGUAAAGGGCGCGUAGGCGGUUCGGACAGUCAGAUGUGAAAUUCCCGGGCUUAACCUGGGGACUGCAUUUGAUACGUCCGGGCUUGAGUGUGGAAGAGGGUCGUGGAAUUCCCAGUGUAGAGGUGAAAUUCGUAGAUAUUGGGAAGAACACCGGUGGCGAAGGCGGCGACCUGGUCCAUUACUGACGCUGAGGCGCGAAAGCGUGGGGAG